This 272-nucleotide ribosomal RNA is filed under the name uncultured Eubacteriales bacterium. RNAcentral describes it as "uncultured Clostridiales bacterium partial 16S ribosomal RNA". It matches the Rfam family "Bacterial small subunit ribosomal RNA", at positions 66 to 339 of the family's 1533-position model. The record is from RNAcentral. Lineage: Bacteria; Bacillati; Bacillota; Clostridia; Eubacteriales.
ACUGCGAAGAGCUUGCUCUUCAAAGUUAGUGGCGGACGGGUGAGUAACGCGUGGGUAACCUGCCUUAUACUGGGGAAUAACACAGAGAAAUCUGUGCUAAAACCGCAUAAGCUUACAGCGAUGAAUGUCGCAGUAAGAAAAACUCCGGUGGUAUAAGAUGGGCCCGCGUCCGAUUAGCUAGUUGGUGAGAUAACAGCUCACCAAGGCAACGAUCGGUAACCGGCCUGAGAGGGUGACCGGUCACACUGGGACUGAGACACGGCCCAGACUCC